RNAcentral lists this unclassified non-coding RNA (310 nucleotides) under uncultured fungus. RNAcentral's name for it is "sequence contains ITS2". The stretch from base 1 to 52 matches the Rfam family "5.8S ribosomal RNA", at positions 103 to 154 of the family's 154-position model. The record is from RNAcentral. Lineage: Eukaryota; Fungi.
AACGCAUCUUGCGCUUCUUGGUAUUCCGAGGAGCAUGCCUGUUUGAGUGUCAUAAGAAUUUCAACCUAUAUUGAUUCUUUCUUUUGAAAGACUUGAUGAGGCUUGGAAUAUGGAAGUUGCAGGCUUUGUUUUGGUCCGCUCUUCUUAAAUGCAUUAGUGAUGAUCAUUGCUAGAUCAGUUUUGGUAUGAUAACUAUCUAUAUCAUUGCUGAAAUAGUUUUCUUUAUAGAAAGAAAGAUCUCGCUUCAAAUUGUUCUGAUACAUUGCACAAUUUUGUCCUCAAAUCAGGUAGGACUACCCGCUGAACUUAA